AUACGUAGGUGGCAAGCGUUGUCCGGAAUGAUUGGGCGUAAUGGGCGCGUAGGCGGCGCGGUAAGUCUGGAGUGAAAGUCCUGCUUUCAAGGUGGGAAUUGCUUUGGAUACUGCCGCGCUUGAGUGCCGGAGAGGUUAUCGGAAUUCCCGGUGUAGCGGUGAAAUGCGUAGAGAUCGGGAGGAACACCAGUGGCGAAGGCGGGUAACUGGACUGCAACUGACGCUGAGGCGCGAAAGUGUGGGGAGCAAACAGGAUUAGAUACCCUGGUAGUCCACACUGUAAACGAUGAAUGCUAGGUGUAAGAGGUAUCGACCCCUUUUGUGCCGGAGUCAACACAAUAAGCAUUCCGCCUGGGGAGUACGGCCGCAAGGUUGAAACUCAAAGGAAUCGACGGGG
Molecule: ribosomal RNA, 397 nt
Filed under: uncultured bacterium
Lineage: Bacteria
Description: partial 16S ribosomal RNA
Rfam family: Bacterial small subunit ribosomal RNA
Source: RNAcentral